RNAcentral lists this ribosomal RNA (406 nucleotides) under uncultured bacterium. RNAcentral's name for it is "partial 16S ribosomal RNA". It matches the Rfam family "Bacterial small subunit ribosomal RNA", at positions 30 to 526 of the family's 1533-position model. The record is from RNAcentral.
AUUGAACGCUGGCGGCAGGCUUAACACAUGCAAGUCGAACGAGCGGCGGACGGGUGAGUAAUGUCUGGGAAACUGCCUGAUGGAGGGGGAUAACUACUGGAAACGGUAGCUAAUACCGCAUACCAUCGGAUGUGCCCAGAUGGGAUUAGCUAGUAGGUGGGGUAAUGGCUCACCUAGGCGACGAUCCCUAGCUGGUCUGAGAGGAUGACCAGCCACACUGGAACUGUGACACGGUCCAGACUCCUACGGGAGGCAGCAGUGGGGAAUAGUGCACAAUGGGCGCAAGCCUGAUGCAGCCAUGCCGCGUGUGUGAAGAAGGCCUUCGGGUUGUAAAGUACUUUCAGCGGGGAGGCGUUACCCGCAGAAGAAGCACCGGCUAACUCCGUGCCAGCAGCCGCGGUAAUAC